UUUUUUUUUUCCUCAUUCAUCUUUUAAAAAUGAAAUUCUGCUGUGUGUUACAACAGGGAUGGACCUUGAAGACCUUAUGCUAAGUGAAAUAAGCUAGUUGCAGAAAGAAAUACUGAACAAUUUCAUUGAUGUGAAAUAAUAAAACAGUCCAAUUCAUAGAAUCAAUGUAUAGGCUAGUGGUUACUAAGGGCUGGAGUGAGAACAGAAAUGGGGAAUCACUCAUCAGAGGGCAUCAAGUUUUAGUUAAGCAAAACAAGUUCUAGAUACAUGCAGUGUAACAUUGCACUACAGUCAAUAAUCAUAUGCUCUAUACUUAAAAUUUUGUUAGGAGGGCAGAUAUCAUGUGGAGUGUUCUCACCAUGAUAAAGCUAAAAGAAAAUAAAAGGUGAAUGAGAGGUACUUGGGAUGUUGUAGGCACUCAACACAUCACAUUAUUAUUCUUAUAGUCAAUGGGCUCUGCUAAGAGGGUUUAGCUUAGUGAAUAAGGAAGGGUUAGACCAGAAUUAAACAUACUGUGUUCAUCCUCCUGAUCCCUCAGUUUUUAUCAUCUGUAUGAUUAAAAUUAAAUAGAAUGAUACAGGACAUAUAGCACAGUGGCAGGUCCUAGCAUAUAGUAAGUAUAUUUGAAGCAUUUUUAAAAAAUAGGACAGUGUAAAGACUUUACCCUUUUCUCAUUAUCUGGAAGUUGACAACCUUCAGAUACUUUGACACAUCUCUCUUGACCUACUCCACUUUUCUUUUCUUUCUUUUUUUUCCCAACUCCACUUUUCCCUUUUCCUUCCUGCCUUGUCUUCCUUCCUAUUCCUCUGUCCUACUUCUUCUCUCUGGCUCUCAUAUACCAGGUCUUUCCAAUGCCUACUCCCCGUGUGUGUGUGUGUGUGUGUGUGUGUGUGUGUGUGUGUGUGUUGUAUGAGAGAGAGAGAGGAUGUUCCUGCUGGAGAAGGGAAUGGGUAGGUUCUCCUCCUAGAUAUUGCUGGUUAGAAGUGAGCCGUGGAAUGAAGGAAGGUGACAGACUCUGGUGACAGUAGCUGCCACGCAUUUCAGGACCUGAGAAGCAAUGGAGUAAAGAUCAUUAUUUUUUAUCUACCAUGGAAAUGCCAUAAUCUAGCCCUACCUCCUGCCUCAGGAGAGGACUCAGCUCUUGGCUCAACUAUCUUUGAUUGUGAGGAAAGCACACAUCAACCCAUAAUACCUAGGUAUCCAUCAGGCCUAGACAAACUGGCUUCUUUUUUGUAACCAGAAAUUAUUGACAACAAAUAUCUCCCAGAAAUCAAAUGUCAGUCAGCUAUUAACUUGAAGAAAAAAAAAAAAGCAUAUACAGUUCCUUAGUUUUUAAAUUUUUUAUAAUAUUUUAUUUAAAUUCAAUUUGCCAACAUACAGUAUAACACCCAAUGCUCAUCCCAUCAAGUGCCCCCCUUAGUGCCCCUCACCAGUCACCCCUUUCCC
Molecule: long non-coding RNA, 1446 nt
Filed under: Canis lupus familiaris (dog)
Lineage: Eukaryota; Metazoa; Chordata; Mammalia; Carnivora; Canidae
Description: lncRNA (ENSCAFG00845005577.1)
Source: RNAcentral